This 500-nucleotide ribosomal RNA is filed under the name uncultured bacterium. RNAcentral describes it as "partial 16S ribosomal RNA". It matches the Rfam family "Bacterial small subunit ribosomal RNA", at positions 28 to 507 of the family's 1533-position model. The record is from RNAcentral.
GACGAACGCUGGCGGCGUGCCUAAUACAUGCAAGUCGAGCGGACUGAUUAAGAGCUUGCUCUUAUGACGUUAGCGGCGGACGGGUGAGUAACACGUGGGCAACCUGCCCUGUAGAUCGGGAUAACACCGAGAAAUCGGUGCUAAUACCGGGUAAUAUCUGAGAUCACAUGAUCUUAGGUUAAAAGAUGGCUCCGGCUAUCACUACAGGAUGGGCCCGCGGCGCAUUAGCUAGUUGGUAAGGUAAUGGCUUACCAAGGCGACGAUGCGUAACCGACCUGAGAGGGUGAUCGGCCACACUGGGACUGAGACACGGCCCAGACUCCUACGGGAGGCAGCAGUAGGGAAUCUUCCGCAAUGGACGAAAGUCUGACGGAGCAACGCCGCGUGAGUGAUGAAGGGUUUCGGCUCGUAAAGCUCUGUUGUUAGGGAAGAAACAGUACCGAACGAACUAGGUCGGUACCUUGACGGUACCUAACCAGAAAGCCACGGCUAACUACGUG